GGAUGAACGCUGGCGGCGUGCCUAAUACAUGCAAGUCGAGCGAACGGACGAGAAGCUUGCUUCUCUGAUGUUAGCGGCGGACGGGUGAGUAACACGUGGAUAACCUACCUAUAAGACUGGGAUAACUUCGGGAAACCGGAGCUAAUACCGGAUAAUAUUUUGAACCGCAUGGUUCAAAAGUGAAAGACGGUCUUGCUGUCACUUAUAGAUGUAUCCGCGCUGCAUUAGCUAGUUGGUAAGGUAACGGCUUACCAAGGCAACGAUGCAUAGCCGACCUGAGAGGGUGAUCGGCCACACUGGAACUGAGACACGGUCCAGACUCCUACGGGAGGCAGCAGUAGGGAAUCUUCCGCAAUGGGCGAAAGCCUGACGGAGCAACGCCGCGUGAGUGAUGAAGGUCUUCGGAUCGUAAAACUCUGUUAUUAGGGAAGAACAUAUGUGUAAGUAACUGUGCACAUCUUGACGGUACCUAAUCAGAAAGCCACGGCUAACUACGUG
This 498-nucleotide ribosomal RNA is filed under the name uncultured bacterium. RNAcentral describes it as "partial 16S ribosomal RNA". It matches the Rfam family "Bacterial small subunit ribosomal RNA", at positions 27 to 507 of the family's 1533-position model. The record is from RNAcentral.